Molecule: ribosomal RNA, 445 nt
Filed under: bacterium AE3006
Lineage: Bacteria
Description: bacterial SSU rRNA
Rfam family: Bacterial small subunit ribosomal RNA
Source: RNAcentral
GGAUGAACGCUGGCGGCGUGCCUAACACAUGCAAGUCGAACGGAGAUUUAACGCUGAUGAGGCUUCGGCGGAAUCUUGUUAAAUCUUAGUGGCGGACGGGUGAGUAACGCGUGGGCAACCUGCCUCGUACUGGGGGAUAACAGUUGGAAACGACUGUUAAUACCGCAUAAGCGCACGGUAUCGCAUGAUACAGUGUGAAAAACUCCGGUGGUACGAGAUGGGCCCGCGUCAGAUUAGCCAGUUGGCGGGGUAACGGCCCACCAAAGCGACGAUCUGUAGCCGGACUGAGAGGUCGGACGGCCACAUUGGGACUGAGACACGGCCCAAACUCCUACGGGAGGCAGCAGUGGGGGAUAUUGCACAAUGGGCGAAAGCCUGAUGCAGCGACGCCGCGUGAGUGAAGAAGUAUUUCGGUAUGUAAAGCUCUAUCAGCAGGGAAGAAAGG